RNAcentral lists this unclassified non-coding RNA (405 nucleotides) under soil metagenome. RNAcentral's name for it is "partial contains 5.8S ribosomal RNA, internal transcribed spacer 2, and large subunit ribosomal RNA". The stretch from base 1 to 121 matches the Rfam family "5.8S ribosomal RNA", at positions 35 to 154 of the family's 154-position model. The record is from RNAcentral.
GAUGAAGAACGCAGCGAAAUGCGAUAAGUAAUGUGAAUUGCAGAAUUCAGUGAAUCAUCGAAUCUUUGAACGCACCUUGCGCCCUUUGGUCAUUCCGAAGGGCAUGCCUGUUUGAGUAUCAUGAACACCUCAACUCUUUAUGGUUUUCCAUGAUGAGCUUGGACUUUGGGGGUUUUGCUGGCCUAUGGUCGGCUCCUCUAAAAUAAAUCAGCUUACCAGUGUUUGGUGGGUAUCAUGGGUGUGAUAACUAUCUACGCUUGUGGUUUUUCCGCCAGGUAACCUUCGACAGCGGAGGUUCACUGGAGCUCAUAGAUGUCUCUCCUCAGCGAGGACAGCCCUUUGAAUGUUUGAUCUCAAAUCAGGUAGGACUACCCGCUGAACUUAAGCAUAUCAAUAAGCGGAGGA